Non-coding RNA from Anaerostipes sp. CAG:276, 262 nucleotides. The record is from Rfam. Lineage: Bacteria; Bacillati; Bacillota; Clostridia; Lachnospirales; Lachnospiraceae.
CCGUGCAGCCGGGGAGGCAGCGGUGCCCUGUAUCUGCAAUCCGCUAAAGCAGAGGUGAUGGCCUGUUUCGGGCUUUUCCCUGUGGAGCUGCCCUUCAUAAGUGGCGUUGAUGUUUGGGUCUUACGCAAUGAGAAUCUAUGAACCGUGUCAGGUCGGGAACGAAGCAGCACUAAGUAGAACCUUUCAUGUGCCGUAAGGGUGCCUGGGCUGAGUUAACUGUGGAGGUAACGUCUGUGGAGAGAGUUCAACGCAGGCUGCACGG